UACAGAGGGGGCAAGCGUUGUUCGGAAUUACUGGGCGUAAAGGGCGCGUAGGCGGCCUUUUAAGUCAGACGUGAAAUCCCCCGGCUUAACCUGGGAACUGCGUCUGAUACUGGGUGGCUUGAGUAUGGGAGAGGGAUGUGGAAUUCCAGGUGUAGCGGUGAAAUGCGUAGAUAUCUGGAGGAACACCGGUGGCGAAGGCGGCAGCCUGGACGGGGAUGGACACUGAGGCGCGAAAGCCAGGGGAGCAAACGGG
RNAcentral lists this ribosomal RNA (253 nucleotides) under uncultured bacterium. RNAcentral's name for it is "partial 16S ribosomal RNA". It matches the Rfam family "Bacterial small subunit ribosomal RNA", at positions 524 to 776 of the family's 1533-position model. The record is from RNAcentral.